AUGGAGGAUGGAGGUGAUGAAAAUGAGGAAGAUGAGGAACUGUGGAGUGAGCAGCUGCUCUCAGGGAGUCUCUCAGGUUGGAGUGAGCUGAAGUUUCCCUUCAGGCUGGGCAGGAACACAGGGAGGGGCUCCCUCACAGGUAACAACAGCAGCAGGAUCAGCUUCCUCCGUCACUUGAUGAUGGAGUCUGCGCUCGCCUGGGCGAUCCUGCUCGUUCUCGGCGGCUUUCAGAGCCACGCAGCUGGCGUGCCAACGUCCACCAUCCACGUGAGACCUGGAGAGGAUGCCACCCUGUACUGCCCCCUGUUGGACACCUCCAAUUUCACCACACCCACCCCCGCUACUGCCCCGACCACCCUCAGCUGGUACAGAAAGGUGCCGGGACAUGGACCUACGCUCCUUGUCUCCCUCAUGUCCAUGGACAGAUCCAGAGUGAAGUACGGCCGCGGUGUUCGCCGUAAUAAAGUCUCUGCAGCGGCCGACGGCUCCCUGGUACUGCGAGGCUCCGAGGAGAAUGACUCGGCGGUUUAUUACUGUGGGAUCAGCCGGGGCAACGACCCGAAGAAGGACCCAAUGCUACGGAAACGUAGAAGGAAAUAAUGUCAGGAGUGAGGCUCGAUUAUCGGGCCGUUAGUCCUGAUUGUGCUGGUUUUAAUUUGCUGCUUGUUCUGAAUGUUUCUGAGUUUUCCUGCUUCUUAUUUUCAGUUUUAUUUCUGACGCAUGCUCUUUGAACAUCCAGAAAAAUACCUGUAUGAUAUCACAGUUUAAUAAAAAUUAUGACUCACAUGUACAAUGACAGCAGAUUUUUUUUAUGAGACUUAAAUGUUUUAAUUGACUGGUGUCUAAUUUCCCACCAUUUCUGCUGGCAGACUUCAUGUUAGUUUAGUUCAUCAGCAAUGCCAGAAACUUUUUUGUUCAAUAGAUUUUCAGUGGCUGUUGGAAAACACCUGUUCGCCUGUCAGUUAGAUUGCAGCAGGCUACCUGUUUUUGCCCAGUACAAGAGACAGAUUUG
This is a non-coding RNA of Archocentrus centrarchus (flier cichlid), 1012 nucleotides long. NCBI's taxonomy places the organism in Eukaryota, Metazoa, Chordata, Actinopteri, Cichliformes, Cichlidae. The record is from the annotation of a RefSeq genome assembly.